AGUUCUGCACCAAAAUCAAAGGAUCCUCUUCACAGCAAGGAUGAUGGAGCACUGGAACAGGCUGCCCAGGGAGGCUGUGGCUUCUCCUUGUCUGGAGAUAUUCCAGACCCUCCUGGAUGCCCACCUGCGCAGCCUGCUGUAGGGAGCCCGUUUUGCAGGGGGGUUGGACUCAAUGAUCACUGGGGGUCCCCUGCAACCCCAAUUCUGUGGUUCUGUGAUUUUAAUCCUUGCUUCUUGCAGCGAUGCAGUGUUUCAGAAGAGAGAAAAGCACGGCGGGCAUCAACUGGAUUUCUGUGGUUGGUAAAGCUGUGCUGAGAACUGGGCUGGCUGCUGCCCCUGGAAAUGUGUCUGCAGACUUUGCACCCAGAGGAAUGACUUUUCCCUGCAGGCUGGGCUUGUCUAAGGUGAUUUUUUCACAAGGAAAGAUUUGAAAUGCUGUUUGCUAAUGGAAGAUGGAGAGAGGAAAAUCAAGUGAAAGGCACGCUGUGCACAGCCAGCACGUAGCAUCUGCACCGCUCUCCCCCUGCACAAAGGAGGAGCAGCUCAGCAAGCUUGGCCUGGGCCAUUGAAGGCAGCACACAGACAUCUGGACCAACCCCAGCGGAGCUGCUUCUGCAGGAAUCCAUGUGGGUUUUUUAAUGAAGAACAGACUCGUUGUGCAGCUUGUGAGUGAAUUCAUUCACACCUGUUAAUUGGCAUUCUUCUCUACGUGGAGCUGCAAUUGCAAUGGAUGCUUGUGGUCUGAUGUGCAGCCCCCUCUGAUGUGCUCAGAUGAGCCAAGUUGGCAAUGCCUGGCUCUCGGUUGGAGUGGUCCAAUGCUGGAGCGGGCUGCCCAGAGUCGUGCAGGUGUUCAAGAAACAUUAGAUGUUGUCCUGAGGGAUGUGGCUUGGUGGGAAAUAUUGGUGGUGGGUGGACAGUUGGACUGGAUGAUCUUGGAGAUCUUUUCCAUGCUUGCUAAUUUUAUGUUUCCAUGAAAGGCAUCUGCUGGGCGAGUGCUUUGGUGGGUGAGCAUCAGGCUGCUGGACAGCAGGCAGCUGUUGUCUGUGCAGACAGCCACAUCCAUGGGGAGUGGAGGCUCUUUGACCUUAACGUUGUCUUGCAUGUCUCAUGUGCAAAAAGGCAUGUUGUUAUAAAGCAGCAUUGUAGGGGCAACCUUGAUUUCCGCAGGCACCAGAGCUCUCCCCCAUGCUUCUCCCUGUGGUGUGAGACCAUAUUGGAGGCCGUGCAGAAGCCUGGGCAGGUGAAGUCCGUUGCUCUUUCUUUCUCCCCCCAAUGCUGGGAAUAGCAGGGAAUGGGACUGGGGGACAUCCCAGCAGUGAGUUCCUACCUCAGCAGAACCGAAUGGCCGUUCUGGUGCAUGUAUUUUGAGUGAAUCUGACGCCAGUUAGAGAAAUGAGGGGCCCGUGAACAAAAAGAAUGUGCUGCUUUUUGCAGUGUAAGAUGUUCUCUGAGCUUCUGCUAACAGUGCCCAGCAUGCUUCCUUUUCGAUGGGGAGAGGUUUAGCAAGGAUUUUUUUAAAUGAAAAUAAUUAAUCCCAUAUUUACUUUUCAUUGAUCUUUCUUUCAUCUAGUUCUUGAAAAGUUACCUUUGGAUUCUACGUUACUAUUGAUUACUGAAGAGAAUACACGUGCAACCUGCGCUUUUCAUCUGUGCAAAGAAUCUUGUAAACCUCUGUGUGUGUGUUUCUUCUUGGCACUGAGAUGAAGCUGUGUGGAACACAGACUUGGAUGACUUUUCAAUCAGGUGCAGGGACGUGUAAUACUCAUCUUAGAUGUUGUGCUGAUAAGAAGAGCAGAGAGGUAAAUUUUAUAGGGUUGCAUGCUAUUUUUUUUAAUUUUAAUUAUUUUUCAGUCAUAACCAUGGAACCACAGAAGUGUUACCCAGACAGAAGGAGCCUUUGUCACCUGGAAUUCCUACCAAUGACGCAGGCAGUGGAAGUCAGCAUCCCAAGCAUCCAUGAAACCCCUGCACAGCACUGGAAGAAAAGCUUGAUGUCUGUGCCAAGGGAGACGUACACCGCACUUGCGCUGCCUGGACGAUGUGGAAACUGGAAAUUGUGGGGUGUGCUGAAGCAUGCCCUCUCAGGCGACAUCUGCACUCUGCUCAGUCCAAGGAGAAUCCCUGCCCGCAGAUGCAAUGACACAGCAUGGCUCACCACCUCAUUUUUCAUUGCUUACUCUUAUGGUAGCUGCCAUCCAUGUCCACCCUGCAUAUUCUUAGAGCUCUUCUGGAGUCCAUGGGGCAGACUUAUGGUUGAACUAAAGGGAAUUUUUUCAUAUUGCUCUAGCUCCAGAUGAUUAUCCCUAGUAUCAUUGUAUUAAAAAAAAAAAAAGGCGUUUUGAAGUAGUGCGAUAUAUCUUCUGUGCCUCAGAAUGUGGCACGUGUGGCAUGAGAGAGUUUUGAGGCCACGAGGACUGCCCAGACAGCAUGAGAACUGUAAGAGCAGAGAGCUAUAGGUGAUGCAGCGCUAUUGGUGCCACCCGCAGGAAGCGGUAGCUGGAACAAAAUAUGGCCAGACGAGUGAUCAGAUUGCGUUUGGUAAGGAACUAUUUCAUUAGUUGUAGAACUUUGACAAAAUGUAUAUUCAGGAUGAUGAUCAGCAUGCCAGGUGCUGGGACCAUGCCGAAAGAGAAAUGGUCUGAAAACGUCGGUGCAAUUUGCAAUAUAUCCCCUUCCACAAAGCCCUCAGAUCCAUGCUGCAACUGCAUCCAAAGCAACGCAGAGCCCUGUGCUUGUUGUACCCGGAGCUGUCGGUGC
Tympanuchus pallidicinctus (lesser prairie-chicken) is the source of this 2757-nucleotide long non-coding RNA. RefSeq lists it as uncharacterized. Lineage: Eukaryota; Metazoa; Chordata; Aves; Galliformes; Phasianidae. The record is from RefSeq and is a predicted model, not a curated record. The transcript has 6 exons.